Molecule: non-coding RNA, 908 nt
Organism: Oncorhynchus mykiss (rainbow trout)
Lineage: Eukaryota; Metazoa; Chordata; Actinopteri; Salmoniformes; Salmonidae
Source: RefSeq, a predicted model, not a curated record
ACAGGAACAUGAACAUGCAGUUGGCGAACACAGAAGAGUAUGUGGAUGGAGCGUUGGCUGGUCACCUUGGAGAAGUACUUGUUAGGUGCAAUAAUGUUUUAUAUAUUAGAGGAGUGGAGGAAGAAGAGGAGGACGGAGAAAUGAAAGAAUGAUGGCGAGGAUGCGACUUACAACUGAUGAUCUGGAUGAGUGUUUAAAUCGUAGCUUUUUUUUCAUUUUCACUAUGUGGAAAAUUGACCCUUGGGGGAGCAAGUUAGUUUUAUAUGUGGGAAACUUUAAAGAAAACAGUUUAUUUUUUCUUUUUUUCUCUCUUCUUCUACUGUUUAUGAUCAGUAUGUAUUAUCACUGUAGAAAAAAAAAUAAAAGGAUGUUUAUUGUACCCAUUCCUAAACCUGCUGUCUGGUGGUAUUAUUACAGGUUUGUGAGGGAGGUGAUUGAUGUGGUGUCUCAACCUUAUUAUCAAACACUACACAUUGAACAGAGCCUGUCAAUCAAUGUACAGUAUUCCUCAUUUUCCAAGCCCCACCCAGGAUUUGGCUCUUGCACUUUGAACACCUGUUGAGCACAUAUUUACUUUCCCCCAAACCACUAGAAAGUGACAGCGAGGCGACAUAGAAAUAGAGGUGACUUACAAAAGUAAUUCAACAUUUUAAAGUUUAAUUUCGACUAUUUCAAAAUGUCCAACAAACUUUUGGUAAAGAACGCGAAACAGGUGGUUUUAAUUUGCCACAACGGUGAGAAGUUCCUGACGAAGGAUGGGAUGCAAAAGCUGUGUGUGAUUGAGAACAGUAGUUUGGUUAUCGGGAGCGACGGCCUGAUAAAGGAUAUUGGACCAGCGAGCACCAUUGAUUUCCAAUAUGCAGGGGUCUCGUUUGAUAAAGUCAUCGAUGCAACUGGCAUGUGUGUCU